RNAcentral lists this ribosomal RNA (640 nucleotides) under uncultured Lachnospiraceae bacterium. RNAcentral describes it as "bacterial SSU rRNA". It matches the Rfam family "Bacterial small subunit ribosomal RNA", at positions 71 to 719 of the family's 1533-position model. Lineage: Bacteria; Bacillati; Bacillota; Clostridia; Lachnospirales; Lachnospiraceae. The record is from RNAcentral.
UGAUUUCCUUCGGGACUGAUUAUUUUGUGACUGAGUGGCGGACGGGUGAGUAACGCGUGGGUAACCUGCCUUGUACAGGGGGAUAACAGUUGGAAACGGCUGCUAAUACCGCAUAAGCGCACAGUAUCGCAUGAUGCAGUGUGAAAAACUCCGGUGGUAUAAGAUGGACCCGCGUUGGAUUAGCUAGUUGGUGAGGUAACGGCCCACCAAGGCGACGAUCCAUAGCCGACCUGAGAGGGUGACCGGCCACAUUGGGACUGAGACACGGCACAAACUCCUACGGGAGGCAGCAGUGGGGAAUAUUGCACAAUGGGCGAAAGCCUGAUGCAGCGACGCCGCGUGAGCGAAGAAGUAUUUCGGUAUGUAAAGCUCUAUCAGCAGGGAAGAUAAUGACGGUACCUGACUAAGAAGCACCGGCUAAAUACGUGCCAGCAGCCGCGGUAAUACGUAUGGUGCAAGCGUUAUCCGGAUUUACUGGGUGUAAAGGGAGCGCAGGCGGUGCGGCAAGUCUGAUGUGAAAGCCCGGGGCUCAACCCCGGUACUGCAUUGGAAACUGUCGUACUAGAGUGUCGGAGGGGUAAGCGGAAUUCCUAGUGUAGCGGUGAAAUGCGUAGAUAUUAGGAGGAACACCAGUGGCGAA